GUCGAGCGGGACCUUCGGGUCUAGCGGCGGACGGGUUAGUAACGCGCCCGUAUAUGCCCUUCUCUAAGGAAUAGCCACUGGAAACGGCCCCUUUUACCUUAUACGCCCUUCGGGGGAAAGAUUUAUCGGAGAAGGAUCGGCCCGCGUUAGAUUAGGUAGUUGGUGGGGUAAUGGCCUACCAAGCCUACGAUCUAUAGCUGGUUUUAGAGGAUGAUCAGCAACACUGGGACUGAGACACGGCCCAGACUCCUACGGGAGGCAGCAGUGGGGAAUCUUGGACAAUGGGCGCAAGCCUGAUCCAGCCAUGCCGCGUGAGUGAUGAAGGCCUUAGGGUCGUAAAGCUCUUUCGCCAGGGAUGAUAAUGACAGUACCUGGUAAAGAAACCCCGGCUAACUCCGUGCCAGCAGCCGCGGUAAUACGGAGGGGGUUAGCGUUGUUCGGAAUUACUGGGCGUAAAGCGCGCGUAGGCGGAUCAGAAAGUUGGGGGUGAAAUCCCGGGGCUCAACCCCGGAACGGCCUCCAAAACUCCUGGUCUUGAGUUCGAGAGAGGUGAGUGGAAUUCCGAGUGUAGAGGUGAAAUUCGUAGAUAUUCGGAGGAACACCAGUGGCGAAGGCGGCUCACUGGCUCGAUACUGACGCUGAGGUGCGAAAGUGUGGGGAGCAAACAGGAUUAGAUACCCUGGUAGUCCACACCGUAAACGAUGAAUGCCAGUCGUCGGGUAGCAUGCUGCUCGGUGACACACCUAACGGAUUAAGCAUUUCCGCCUGGGGAGUACGGUCCGCAAGAUUAAAACU
This 795-nucleotide ribosomal RNA is filed under the name uncultured bacterium. RNAcentral's name for it is "bacterial SSU rRNA". It matches the Rfam family "Bacterial small subunit ribosomal RNA", at positions 61 to 901 of the family's 1533-position model. The record is from RNAcentral.